UACGGAGGGUGCAAGCGUUAUCCGGAUUCACUGGGUUUAAAGGGUGCGUAGGUGGGUUGGUAAGUCAGUGGUGAAAUCUCCGAGCUUAACUUGGAAACUGCCAUUGAUACUAUCAAUCUUGAAUAUCGCGUAGGUAAGCGGAAUAUGUCAUGUAGCGGUGAAAUGCUUAGAUAUGACAUAGAACACCAAUUGCGAAGGCAGCUUACUUCACGAUCAUUGACACUGAUGCACGAAAGCGUGGGGAGCAAACAGG
Molecule: ribosomal RNA, 253 nt
Filed under: uncultured bacterium
Lineage: Bacteria
Description: partial 16S ribosomal RNA
Rfam family: Bacterial small subunit ribosomal RNA
Source: RNAcentral